Molecule: long non-coding RNA, 222 nt
Filed under: Lathyrus oleraceus (garden pea)
Lineage: Eukaryota; Viridiplantae; Streptophyta; Magnoliopsida; Fabales; Fabaceae
Description: Pisum sativum (pea) long non-coding RNA (PSAT_LNC028422)
Source: RNAcentral
AAUUCCAAAAUCCCUACCAAAUAUACUCAAUGGACAAUUCAAACACACAUAGGAAGUAGAAACAGAACCCAUAGCAGGUGUAUCAAGAAUCAUACUUCUACGCAUAUUAGAUAAUAUGAGAUUCAGCCUCUUAGCACAAUCCAAAGAAAUGAAAGAAUGUGUUGCACCGGUAUCAAUAAUGGCAAUCAAAGGUGUACCAUUAAUAAAGCACGUACCUUGGAU